GACGAACGCUGGCGGCGUGCUUAACACAUGCAAGUCGAACGGAAAGGCCCUGCUUUUGUGGGGUGCUCGAGUGGCGAACGGGUGAGUAACACGUGAGUAACCUGCCCUUGACUUUGGGAUAACUUCAGGAAACUGGGGCUAAUACCGGAUAGGAGCUCCUGCUGCAUGGUGGGGGUUGGAAAGUUUCGGCGGUUGGGGAUGGACUCGCGGCUUAUCAGCUUGUUGGUGGGGUAGUGGCUUACCAAGGCUUUGACGGGUAGCCGGCCUGAGAGGGUGACCGGCCACAUUGGGACUGAGUUACGGCCCAGACUCCUACGGGAGGCAGCAGUGGGGAAUAUUGCACAAUGGGCGGACGCCUGAUGCAGCAACGCCGCGUGCGGGAUGACGGCCUUCGGGUUGUAACCCGCUUUCGCCUGUGACGAAGCGUGAGUGACGGUAAUGUGUAAAGAAGCACCGGCUAACUACGUG
RNAcentral lists this ribosomal RNA (468 nucleotides) under uncultured bacterium. RNAcentral describes it as "partial 16S ribosomal RNA". It matches the Rfam family "Bacterial small subunit ribosomal RNA", at positions 28 to 507 of the family's 1533-position model. The record is from RNAcentral.